UUCCCCAAUAGGCAGUUAUUUGCAAUUUCGCGCCAAAUAAGAGAGAGAGAAGAAGAAGAAGGAAAUGGUACUGGUGUGUUUUGUGAUUGAUCUGCGGAGCUUACCUCCUCAGUUGCUCAGAGACGUAAAGCAGUCCUUACUAGAGGUAGCUAAUUUCUACGCCAUUUCGUCGGAAUCUGAGAGUCUGAGAGAUAAGAUUGGGUUGUGCUACGUGUUCAGGAAUCGCAUUUCUUCUUCUGAUGAGCUGAAGAUCGCUUACAGUCCCAGUCCUAGAGGGAACUUCGAUCUACGCGACUUCCACCAUGCUGUCAAUCACUUGCCUACCGAUUCUUUUCUUCCUGAAAUCGACGAUCCCGGGGAUCUAAAACUUUCAAACAUCCUGAGUGAUCAAGUUUUAUAUUCCUGGGGAGUUGAUAAAGAUAUCGUGAGGAAAGUCAUAGUCCUCAGCUCCUGCUUUCCACAAUAUGUAGACUCUCACUUACAAAAAUCUCUCAUGGAUGCGGCCGACAAGUGUGUUUCUGUUGAAUUUCUGUUAUUUGAGCAAAAAUCAGGCCAUCUCACUGAUACACUCCAAAAUGUCAGCAAUUUCCUCAGAUCCAUCUCAGAUCUCGAUAAUUGCUCCCUUCAAACCUAUCUUCCUAAUGUCAGAGUGUUGCAUGGCCUGGUUAAACAAUGGAUAGAGGAUUUAAAGGAUGACAUGGAAAAACCAUUACAAGCUCGUUUUCUCUUUAAGACCAACCUUGUAGGAUCGAUGAAUCAGAUCUCCUGCAACUUGUACAUAUCUGUCAAUAAAAUAGUUGAUGGGUUCAGUCCCUGUCAGACAUGCAGGUGUCAUGGAAUGCUGUUAGAAGAUGGCAUAAGAAACAGGAUACAUGGAUAUUCUUGUCCAGUCACUGGCCAUGGUCUGGAAACAUGCAAUGUGAUAGAAAGCUCAGUGAAGGUUGGAGAAAAAACGCUCCUGUUUCUGCCGUCAUUCCAGAGCUCUAUGAAGUUUCAGCGAAUUGCUUCAAUUGACUUCCAUGUUAUUGAGCGGAUUAGCUUGGGGUCUCUAAGUGAAGGCAGUAUAAUGGGUGAUUCCUAUUUCGUAAUUCCAUCAACUUGCCAUGAGGUAGAAGCUGCUUCAGAUGACAUUGAUCAGUCAGAGUUGAAUGCUCAAGUUUUUCAAGGGCUUUGUAGUGCUCUACAUUCACUGGACCAGGGUUUGGUAUGCUCUUCAAAUUGUAAUAUGGAAACCAUGAGAGAGGUUGCUUUCCACUGUUAUUAUAUUCUUCAACCUUCAGACAAUGGUCCAAUGCUUCUCAGGCGUCUUGCAGGAUCAGAGGAAGUCUCUCGUGUUCCUGACCUCAAUCGAUGUAUUCUUUCUUCAAUAACUAAGGAAAUUCAGGACUCCAUUCAAGCCUCCUUGUCAAAGAUUGAACUAAAAGACUAUGAUCCAAUGCUGCACGAGAGAGGCUUCCAUCAAAAACUAAACAUGCUCGUUAAAGAAAGCUUACAAUUCGGGUCAAUACCUCCUAAAUUUGAAGAGGCACCCUCUGAACCAAAGUUAACCCAACUUGAUUCUUCAGAAGAGAUGGUACAAUCCACUUCAAGACUAGAUGUUGAACUCACAGGAGAGGAAUCGUCAAAGUUCGAUAUGAUUGAAGAAGACAAAACGGGCACGUAUAUUGCAGAAGAAUGGGAGCUGCUGGUUGUCAAUGAAGUUCCAAAGAUAUUUUCUCCAGUUUGUAUAUCCAAACCCAAGUUGGAUCAAUCAGUUCUAUCGCCUUCAAGUAGUAAUAGGCAGUUGGAUGUAAAAACUUCAAGGAUUUUAGAGAGACUGGAGGUGCCAAGACAGUUGAAAACAAAAGCAGUUUCUCCCAUUAACACAGGCAGUGGGAUGAUAGAUACCUGUGUUCCAAUGAAGAAGCCUCUUAUCCCAUCGCAGUGCAUUGAUACUACAGACCAAGGCUCGACUACAAGCCAGUUAAUCAAGCCAAAUUUCCAGAGAUUAAAAAGGAAACAUAAAUGAAACGAAGGCUGCUGCUUUUGUAGAUAAUGGAGUUAUCGUUGCAAAAAUGGUCCAUGAGUACUGUUUGGAUUGGUCCAUACAACUGCUCCACUGCACAACCAUGAUAAUCACGCUCAUGCGGAACUAUCCAAUCCCAAGUUUGGUAGUGGGCGACCAACCCACUAUCCUUUGGCUUUGACUGCAUCUACUUUCAGCUCUCGAUAAGUAAGCGCUAAUUUAUUGAUUAACUGUAAAGCAGAAUUCAUAAAGCAUACAUGGCAAACAUAAAAUAACAGUUGGAAAAGAAAGGAAGAAACGACCAAAGCGGCCAGAAACUGAGAAGCUUGGUACAUGAGACAGAGAGUGGGAUCAUCCUGGUGGGGUGGAAAGGGCAUUCGUUAUCCACUGCUUCUUUCUAGCUGUCAUGUCCGACAAAGAGAGUGGACUUAUUUAUUUAUUUAAAUUAUUAGAAAGCGUUAAAAACAUUUUUGGUUUGGAAUGCAUAUUCCACACGAAAUAAUAGAAUUCCACCAAAAUCCCCUGUACUAGGACAAUAUACUCCGGCCAGAAUACUUAUAGAGCGGAACGACAUUUAAAAUAUUGGUACAAGUCUAAUGGCCUCUAGGCUCAACACUAGUACUGCACACUAACUUGUAUAACAAUUAUUGCCUGCAUAUAUAAAAGAUGGUCUCCUUAUAAA
This is an RNA transcript of Quercus robur (English oak), 2687 nucleotides long. RefSeq lists it as uncharacterized. NCBI's taxonomy places the organism in Eukaryota, Viridiplantae, Streptophyta, Magnoliopsida, Fagales, Fagaceae. The transcript is spliced from 13 exons. The record is from RefSeq and is a predicted model, not a curated record.